UUCCUACGGGAGGCAGCAGUGAGGAAUAUUGGUCAAUGGGCGAGAGCCUGAACCAGCCAAGUCGCGUGAGGGAGGACGGCCCUACGGGUUGUAAACCGCUUUCAGCAGGGAAGAUAUUGACGGUACCUGCAGAAGAAGCUCCGGCUAACUACGUGCCAGCAGCCGCGGUAAUACGUAGGGAGCGAGCGUUAUCCGGAUUCAUUGGGCGUAAAGCGCGCGUAGGCGGCUGCCUAAGCGGAACCUCUAACCCCGGGGCUCAACCUCGGGCCGGGUUCCGAACUGGGCGGCUCGAGUGCGGUAGAGGG
Molecule: ribosomal RNA, 305 nt
Filed under: uncultured bacterium
Lineage: Bacteria
Description: bacterial SSU rRNA
Rfam family: Bacterial small subunit ribosomal RNA
Source: RNAcentral